CAUCACUGGAAGUGAAACUUAGAGACAUAGGAAGUAAAAGCUGGAACUGGGGUUGCACGGCUGCUAGGUUAAGACAAAGGGGGACUUUAAAGAGACAAGUAUUUCUACACUCCUUCCUGCCUUUACAACAAAGACUGUCUGUCUUCCUCUGCCUCACAUGAAUUGAUGCAUUUGUCGGGUAACAGUCAUUUGUAUUGAAGUGAUAAAAGUGUGGUCUGGGAAACCAGCGGCGUAACAGGCCUUCUGUAUUACACACACAGUUUUUUAGAACAGUUUGAAGUACGGCUUAAUUUCUCUGUCUCACAUGAAUGAUGUAAUCUGUCCCACCCACGUUAAGGGCAUAAAUAUCAUGUGUGCUAAGUCAUGUAGUCUAAUAUCACUGCAGCACAGGACAGAGGACAGACAGACAUGUAGUCACUGCAGCACAGGACAGAGGGAGGACAGACAGACAGACAUGUAGUCACUGCAGCACAGGACAGAGGACAGACAGACAGACAGACAUGUAGUCUAAUAUCACUGCAGCACAGGACAGAGGACAGACAGACAUGUAGUCACUGCAGCACAGGACAGAGGGAGGACAGACAGACAGACAUGUAGUCACUGCAGCACAGGACAGAGGACAGACAGACAGACAGACAUGUAGUCUAAUAUCACUGCAGCACAGGACAGAGGACAGACAGACAGACAGACAUGUAGUCUAAUAUCACUGCAGCACAGGACAGAGGACAGACAGACAGACAGACAGACAUGUAGUCUAAUAUCACUGCAGGACAGGACAGGGGGAGGACAGACAGACAGACAGACAUGUAGUCUAAUAUCACUGCAGCACAGGACAGAGGACAGACAGACAGACAGACAUGUAGUCUAAUAUCACUGCAGCACAGGACAGAGGGAGGACAGACAGACAGACAGACAGACAGACAUGUAGUCUAAUAUCACUGCAGCACAGGACAGAGGACAGACAGACAGACAUGUAGUCUAAUAUCACUGCAGCCCAGGACAGAGGACAGACAGACAGACAUGUAGUCUAAUAUCACUGCAGCACAGGACAGAGGGAGGACAG
Long non-coding RNA from Clupea harengus (Atlantic herring), 1063 nucleotides. The record is from Ensembl. Lineage: Eukaryota; Metazoa; Chordata; Actinopteri; Clupeiformes; Clupeidae.